CGUAGGAGGCAAGCGUUAUCCGGAUUCACUGGGCGUAAAGCGCGUGCAGGUGGCGCGGUAAGUUGGGCGUGAAAUCUCCCGGCUCAACUGGGAGAGGUCGUUCAAUACUACCGUGCUUGAGGGCAGAAGAGGAAGAUGGAAUUCCCGGUGUAGUGGUGAAAUGCGUAGAUAUCGGGAGGAACACCAGUGGCGAAGGCGAUCUUCUGGUCUGUUUCUGACACUCAGACGCGACAGCUAGGGUAGUAAACGGGAUUAGAGACCCCGGUAAUCCUAGCCGUAAACGAUGUGAACUUGGCGUUGGUGGGUUAAACUCCAUCAGUGCCGAAGCAAACGCGAUAAGUUCACCGCCUGGGGACUACGGCCGCAAGGUUA
RNAcentral lists this ribosomal RNA (372 nucleotides) under uncultured organism. RNAcentral describes it as "bacterial SSU rRNA". It matches the Rfam family "Bacterial small subunit ribosomal RNA", at positions 526 to 896 of the family's 1533-position model. The record is from RNAcentral.